This 6980-nucleotide long non-coding RNA is filed under the name Brassica napus (rape). Its description in RNAcentral is "long non-coding RNA (BNAP_LNC011855)". Lineage: Eukaryota; Viridiplantae; Streptophyta; Magnoliopsida; Brassicales; Brassicaceae. The record is from RNAcentral.
AAGAGAAUAGACAUUUUCAACUACAAAACUCUAAGAGAAAAAAAAAAAGAAAAUCAAUUGUAAUUACUAACCCGCUCGGCGGCCACAUCAAGAUGUUUAGUCCCUGCAAAUGGACUCAGCUACCCACGAGUCUGAAAUCAAAAGAAGACCAAAAGUGUCAAUUUUUACACGAGCUAAUCAUACUACUAGUGAUCAGAGUGUAACCUUUCCUUCCCCAGCCUAUGCAAGCCACAGCUCAUGAAAAAGUUACCAACCAAUUUGCUUUUCUCUUCUUCUUUUACUUGUUGAAACCCAGAAAAUCAGAACAGUGAAGGUUUAACUCACUCGGUAAAACCCAAAGGGGAAUCAGAAUAUGGAAGAAAAAAAAAGCAUUACGUUUGUUUAGCGAAGCAAGAGAGGAGCGGCAACGCAAAGAUCUGCUCCCGAGCAAAGUAAUCGAAGUGCCAUAGCUUCUACAGAAAUAAUAGUCAUCUAUGUAAGGUUUUGGGCUUCAGAUAUUCUACCUGGGCCAACGAUAGCAUCACUCCUAUGGGCCAAGACAAGGACGCAGGCCCAUCUCCUGUGUACCCCGUGUACCUUGCUAACACAUAUAUAACGAGUGGUUAAUAUGUUGUUAGGUCAAGCAGUCUAAGGAAAUACACAGAACGUUUACGGCAACAAGGAUCAGAUCAAUCAGCAAUAAGCAAGAGGAAGGAGACAACAAUACAAGAUAAAUAGCUUAGACCUAAGUUUAUUUGAUCUAAGGGCUUUGUUGUAUCCUCUAGCUUGGAGUAUUUGGUUCUUGGUAAACAAACUAUCUAGCACACUGAUUUGGUGUUGCUAGAGUCUCUUUGAUCUAGUGGAACUUGGGAGCUGCAGUUCUCCCACGAGACGUACCGCGCCGAGGGCCGGGAACUCGUUAAAUUGACUGUGUCUUUAGUUUCAGUCUAAACUUAGAUCUAAGACUAACUUCUAACCUAAGUAACCUAAGUUAAUAAUCUCUACAAGUGGUAUCAGAGCUUCCGGGUUAUUAAGGCUACUUAGGAGAGAGAGACAGAGUCAUAUCCAUUACCUGUUCAAUGGUGACUUCGAAGGAACGUGUGGAUAUUGACAGGUUCGAGGGUGAUGGUGAUUUCGCCCUAUGGAAGGUGAGGAUGCUUGCUCAUUUUGGAGUGCUUGGACUUAAAUCCAUUCUCAUUGACACGAAGCUUCUAAAGGAGGGAUCAGACGCAAAGGAUGAACCCGAGUCUGCCAUGAAGGACUCGGGAAAGGGACUUGCUGGAAUUGUUGACCCUGCACCUGCGAUAGACCCUGCAAAAUUUGAGAAAUCAGAAAAAGCCAAAGACCUGAUUGUGCUGAAUGUUGGGAAUAAGGUACUAAGAAAAAUUCAACAUUGUGAGACUGCUGCUGCAAUGUGGAGUACACUGAACAAUCUCUACACAGAGACUUCCCUACCCAACAGGAUUUAUCUACAGCUCAGGUUCUACACUUUCAAGAUGGUUGACUCAAAAUCUAUUGAUGAGAAUGUUGAUGACUUCCUAAAGCUUGUAGCAGACUUAAACAAUAUGCAAGUUGAAGUAUUAGAGGAAGUUCAAGCUAUUUUACUGCUAAGUUCUCUACCUGCUAAGUAUGAUCAACUCAAGGAGACUCUCAAGUAUGGGAGAGACACACUGAGCCUAGCUGAGGUUACUGGUGCUGCAAAGUCUAAAGAAAGAGAGUUGAUCGAGAGUGGCAAGUUCACCAUGUCAGGUGGAGAAGGUCUGCUUGUAGACAGAGGCAAAUCAGAACAAAGAUCCGGAAAGGGCAAUGGAAAGACAUACAAAGGUAGAUCUCAGAGUCUACAUGGGAGAUCUAAGUCUCGUUCCAGGAACAACAAAAACACCAAGGGAUGUUUGUAUGUGGAAAGGAGGGUCAUUGGAAGCAUGAUUGCCCUGACAGGAGAUCAGCCAAGUCGCAAGACUCGGCGAAUGUAGCAGAAGAGGCAAAGCAACCUCUAAUAUUCACAGUCAGCACGCAAUACACUAAGGACGAGUGGGUGAUGGACUCAGGAUGUUCGUUUCAUAUCACACCUGAUAAGAGCUUCUUAUUUGAUUUGGAAGAAUUCAAGGGAGGCAAAGUGUUGAUGGCAAACAACACUCACAUCAACAUUCAGGGAAUUGGGAAAAUUAAAAUUCUAAAUCCAGACGGUUCUUUGGUUAUCUUAACAGGAGUUAGUUACAUGCCAGGCAUGAGCAGGUAUUUAAUUUCUUAUGGAAUGUUGGAAACAGCAGGAUGUCGAUAUGAAGGAAGAGACCUUACAGUUAAUUUCUACAAGGAUGAAAAAAGGGUUAUGUCUGGAAGGUAUCAUCUGGGACUAUAUUAUCUUCAAGGAACAGUCUUAAGAGGAGAAGUUAAUCUAUCUAGAGCAGAGAAGAAUAUGACUAAUGUUUGGCAUUCACGCCUCGGUCAUAUGAGUCUUGAUAACAUGUCAGAACUUGUCAAAAGAGGAUUUAUUGUCGACAAGGAUGUUAAGACCCUGGAUUUCUGUGAACAUUGUAUCAUUGGGAAGUCACACAAGCAAAGCUUUCCUAAAGCUAAACAUGUGACUAAUGGCAUUCUGGAGUAUGUUCAUUCUGACCUAUGGGGUUCUCCUUCUACACCAGACAGCCUUGCUGGAGCUAAGUACUUUGUUACUUUUAUUGAUGAUUUUUCAAAAAAAGUCUGGAUUUAUUUUCCGAAGACUAAGGAUGAGGUAUUUUCUAAGUUCAGGGAAUGGAAGGCUGAAGUUGAAACUAAGACUGAGAAAAAAGUCAAGUGUUUGAGAAGAGACAAUGGUUUGGAGUUCUGUAAUAAACAGUUUGAUGAUUACUGCAAGAAGGCUGGGAUUAAGAGGCACAUAACCUUCACUUACACUCCGCAGAAGAAUGGAGUUUCAGAAAGAAUGAACAGAACAAUUAUGAAUAAGGUGAGAUGUAUGUUAGCCGAAUCUGGCUUGGACCAAAGCUUCUGGCCAGAAGCUGCAUCUAUUGCGAUUUAUUUGAUUAAUAGAUCACCUAACUCUAUGCUGGAAUUCAAAAAGCCUGAAGAAGUAUGGUCAGGUUAUAAACCAAAUUUGGGACAUCUCAGAACGUUUGGAUGCACUGCUUAUGUGCACAUAACCGAGGAGAAAACGGGACCUAGAGCCAUCAAGGGAGUGUUCGUAGGAUACCCUAUGGGCACUAAAGGUUACAGGGUUUGGAUAGAGGAGGAAGGCAGAUGCAGAACAAGCAGAAACGUUGUCUUCAACGAGGAUGAGCUGUACAAACACACUGUUGCUAAAGGAAAAGAAAGCACAGAAGUGACCAAGAAAGAAAAACGAGCUAAGAAGAAGGUGUCAUUCAGUGAUGAUUUGAUCAGAGGGCCUUCUCCUUCUGUCGAAUCCGAAGGCACAUCUGAUCAAGGUGGAGAAGAAUCAUCUUCUAGCUCUAACAGCUCAAGUGACGAAGAACAAGAUCACGAGGUUGAUAGUGAACGUGAUCACGAGAGUGAGAGUGGUGACACUGAAACUCUAGACACCUAUGUUCUAGCACGAGAUAGGGAAAGGAGACAGAACGUGAGACCACCAUCUCGAUAUGAGGAUGGGAACUUUGUGGCUUAUGCGCUCAAUGUGAUUGAUGAUUUGGAAGUUCAGGAACCAAAAUCCUAUGCAGAAGCUAUGAGGAGUCGUGAAAAGAAGCUAUGGAAGCAUGCUGCAGAAGAAGAAAUGGAGUCUCACAGAAAGAAUAGAACCUGGGAUCUCAUUGAUAGGCCUGAAAAGGCAAAGCUUGUUGGAUGCAUAUGGCUAUUCAAGCUAAAGCCAGGAAUCCCAGGUGUUGAGGAUGAACGAUACAAGGGCAGAUUAGUUGCCAAAGGAUAUUCACAGAGAGAAGGAGUCGACUACAAUGAGAUCUUCUCUCCAGUGGUAAAACAUGUCUCCAUCAGGCUUACGCUUAGCAUUGUGGUGAGCCUAGACUUAGAACUAGAGCAGAUGGAUGUGAAAACAGCUUUUCUACAUGGAAGCUUGGAGGAAAGAAUCUUAAUGGAACAGCCUGAAGGCUUUAUAAAACCAGGAACAGAGAACAAAGUGUGCUUGCUGAGAAAGUCUCUGUAUGGUUUGAAGCAGUCUCCAAGAAGAUGGAACCACCGGUUCAACAACUUCAUGAAGGAUCAGCUAUUUGAGCGUUGCAGUAAAGAUCUAUGUGUCUAUAUGAGAGACGUUAAAACCGACAAAGCCAUCUAUCUGCUCAUCUAUGUCGACGACAUGUUGAUUGCUUCAGGAAACAAGAAAGUGAUCAAGGAUCUUAAAGAAAAGAUGAGUGGAGAAUUUGAGAUGAAAGAUAUGGGAAAGGCAUCCAGAAUACUGGGAAUGGAUAUCAUCAGAGAUAGAAAGAAAGGAACAUUGAUUCUGUCUCAAAGAAAGUACAUUGAAAAAGUGAUAAAGACGUUUGGAAUGCAGGACGCCAAAAGUGUAGUCACUCCCACCUCUUCUCAGUUUAAGUUUCGGAGUCUAACAGAAAAAGAAUGGAAAGAAGAGGCAGCACAUAUGGAAAGGAUUCCAUAUGCCAGUGCCGUAAGAAGCCUAAUGUAUGCAAUGGUCGGGUCGAGGCCCGACCUAGGAUUUGCAGUAGGCUAUGUUUGUCGCUUCAUGAGUAAACCAGGAAGGGACCACUGGUCAGCAGUCAAGUGGGUUCUACGAUACUUACAGGGAGCAAUGAACUCAUCUCUAACAUUCAUAAAGCAGUCUACACUAGAAGUUGAAGGCUAUUCAGACUCAGACUAUGCAACAGACAUGGACAGGCGACACUCAGUUACAGGCUAUGCUUUCAAGUUUGCAGGCAACACAGUUUCAUGGAAAUUCCGACAAAGCCAUCUAUCUGCUCCUCUAUGUCGACAACAUGUUGAAUACUUCAGGAAACAAGAAAGUGAUCAAGGAUCUUAAAGAAAAGAUGAGUGGAGAAUUUGAGAUGAAAGAUAUGGGAAAGGCAUCCAGAAUACUGGGAAUGGAUAUCAUCAGAGAUAGAAAGAAAGGAACAUUGAUUCUGUCUCAAAGAAAGUACAUUGAAAAAGUGAUAAAGACGUUUGGAAUGCAGGACGCCAAAAGUGUAGUCACUCCCACCUCUUCUCAGUUUAAGUUUCGGAGUCUAACAGAAAAAGAAUGGAAAGAAGAGGCAGCACAUAUGGAAAGGAUUCCAUAUGCCAGUGCCGUAAGAAGCCUAAUGUAUGCAAUGGUCGGGUCGAGGCCCGACCUAGGAUUUGCAGUAGGCUAUGUUUGUCGCUUCAUGAGUAAACCAGGAAGGGACCACUGGUCAGCAGUCAAGUGGGUUCUACGAUACUUACAGGGAGCAAUGAACUCAUCUCUAACAUUCAUAAAGCAGUCUACACUAGAAGUUGAAGGCUAUUCAGACUCAGACUAUGCAACAGACAUGGACAGGCGACACUCAGUUACAGGCUAUGCUUUCAAGUUUGCAGGCAACACAGUUUCAUGGAAAUUAUGUCUACAAUCAGUUGUUGCACUUUCAACUACAGAAGCCGAAUACAUGGCUAUGAAUGAAGCAGCUAAAGAAGCAAUGUGGCUAAAAGAGAUAUGCGCAGAGCUAGGAUUCAAACAACAAGAGAUCAAACUCUACUGCGACUCUCAAAGUGCCCUAGCUCUAGCAAGAAAUCCAGUCAAUCACGAGAAGACUAAGCAUAUAGCUACCAAGUUCAACUUCAUUCGAGACCUAGUGGAAUCAUGAGAUAUUGUCCUAAACAAGAUACACACUAAUGUCAAUCCAUCAGACUUCCUAGCAAAGACGAUACCUGGUCAGAAGUUCUAGCUUUGCUGUGAGCUUUUGAAUGUGAACUGAUAAGACUGGAGACGCUCCAGGUGAUUCAAAGUUGAAUAGGCCCACUCUCACAAUACACAGACAACAAACAAUAGGUCAAUAUGUGUGCAAUUGUGAAUCUAAGUCAACAGGGAGUGUCAAUAAAGAACAAGGAAUCACCUGGAGGAUAAUGAGAAUCGAGAAAGAGUACUCGGUUCAGGUGGAGUAACCAUGAGCCACCAGACAUUCUCAUACAGGAACAGACUCAGAAAGGGCUUCGUGAGGUGUACAGAAGCAAGCAUCAGGGUCUGGUAACUUAAGAAAGGCAUCAUCAAUGGAAUCUGUCAGAGACAGUGAAUUUACAUGCAGCCACAAGAUACAGGUGUUAGUAACAAGUUCGUGAAGUGGUACGAGUCACAAGAGUAGUUCAGAAGUGGCUUACCAACAUAACGUGACAGUGUCUGAUUAAUCAAGGGGUUUCAAUAUAGAAACCAAGAUAGCUCAUCAUCGAGCUGUUAGACUCGUGAAACAUUACAGAGGAGUCAGAUCGACAAACGACAAGCAGAUUAUAGUGGGUUUGCUGAGAAAGGGGAUUACCUGUUCUAAGAAAGAGGUGAAGCAUAUUGAUGGAGCUUUGGUAUGAGCUCAAGCGGUGAGUGAAUCAAGAUCGCUCUCGGAGAUGAAGCUCAUGACAGAGCUGAAUCGCAUGUCGGGGGAGGCGAAUCUAUAACCGGAGAAGACAUGCAAAACGGAGUCAGAGGGUUAGCCAAUCGCUAACUCAAAACGACUUCUCAUCCUUACAUAUGACCCUACUCUCUGGAAAUAUAAAAGGGAGUAGAUGUACCUGAGGAUAAAGGAGAAAGAUGAGACACGCCAUCAUGGUGGAUCUGAUCAGAUCUUCCUCGGCGAAGCUAGACGAAGCUUCAAGUACUCACGGCGGAAGAGUCGAGAAGAAACGAGGGAGAGAGAGAGAGACGCUAGAGAAAGAGAGUGGGAAAUCGCGUCUGAUUUCAUCACUAGCCAGACAAAGAGACACGAGUUAGGGCUGUCGGCAGAAGAGGUAAUGGGCUGAUAAGCUUCAGCCAAAACGGUGGAGAUUUGUAAGGUUUUGGGCUUCAGAUAUUCUACCUGGGCCAACGACAGCAUCACUCCUAUGGGCCAAGACAAGGACGCAGGCCCAUCUCCUGUGUACCCCGUGUA